This 150-nucleotide long non-coding RNA is filed under the name Phascolarctos cinereus (koala). RNAcentral describes it as "Non-coding RNA BC040587 (ENSPCIG00000011246.2)". It matches the Rfam family "Non-coding RNA BC040587". Rfam says of the family: Deletion of this gene is associated with poor survival of osteosarcoma patients. The record is from RNAcentral. Lineage: Eukaryota; Metazoa; Chordata; Mammalia; Diprotodontia; Phascolarctidae.
GAUUUAUCCACUUCUUCCUGCAGUUAGGUCACAGUCCUGUGUUUGUGACAUAGCAGACAGUUGCCAUGGAGAUGAUUGCUUUAUCACCAACUCCUUUUUGCAAUAACUUCACAGCAAGGUUAUGGAGAAGCAGAUGGACUGCGAAGGAGA